ACGCUGGCGGCGUGCUUAAUACAUGCAAGUCGAACGGAGUUAAGGGUUUCGGCCUUUUAACUUAGUGGCGAACGGGUGAGUAACGCGUGAAUAACCUGACUCAAAGAGGGGGAUAACAACGGGAAACUGUUGCUAUACCGCAUGAGACCACAACACCGCAUGAUGAAGGGGUCAAAGAUUUAUCGCUUUGAGAGGGGUUCGCGUCCCAUUAGGUAGUUGGAGGGGUAACGGCCCACCAAGCCAACGAUGGGUAGCCGAGCUGAGAGGCUGAUCGGCCACACUGGAACUGAGACACGGUCCAGACUCCUACGGGAGGCAGCAGUAGGGAAUAUUGGGCAAUGGGCGCAAGCCUGACCCAGCAACGCCGCGUGAGGGAAGAAGGUUUUCGGAUUGUAAACCUCUGUCCUAUGUGACGAAGGAAGUGACGGUAGCAUAGGAGGAAGCCCCGGCUAACUACGUG
Molecule: ribosomal RNA, 460 nt
Filed under: uncultured bacterium
Lineage: Bacteria
Description: bacterial SSU rRNA
Rfam family: Bacterial small subunit ribosomal RNA
Source: RNAcentral